AUUACCAACUUUUGACGUUGACAUAAUAUUUGCAUUGAAACUUCACUUACUCCAGUUUGCUGUUCAGCAUUAAAAAUAAAACUUAACCAAAGAAAAUAAUUUCUCCGAGAAAUUCCGUGGGAGAGCUGUUCUGCUGCCGUAGCGAUGCCACACGCUGAUUAAGCUGCUGACUACGAAAAAACGAUGAAAACGAAAAAAUGUUGACAAGGAUUAAAACGAUGACAACUAUGACAACGAUUAAAUAAUUGACAAAAACCUUAAAAAGAUGACCAAAACAAAAGGUUGACAAACAUCAAAGUGUCAACAACAUUGAACAAGAAUUGAACAAGAGACAUCAUUGACAAUCAAAAAUCAAAAAAAGUUAAGUAUGCUUUUAUUUUGAAAGGAUUUACGGAACAUUUGUGUUGUAAAUUGCUAAACUGUAUAAUAGUCUUACUACCUAUGAAAUUAUUUAGUCAGAACCAGAAAUCUUGCUAUGAAAGGUAAUAAAUUGCGCUGGGGCUUUUAUUUUGAAAGAUUUAUUCUCAGCCGAGACAUCAGUGACGCUGCAGCAGAGAGACCCCGCGGUCCGCGUUCCGCAUUCGCUACGCGGACACAACGAGACCGCUUGGCACAUGAAGACGUUGACUUAGGGACCGUCGAUAAAUUAUUUGGAUUUUCAAGAAAAUUAAAGGUGCCUGCAAAUGCAAAAUUCACUUUUUGGACAUUCUGGUACGUUUAUUUGACUACCUGGGUCACAUAAAGACACUCCUGGUGUGUUUGAAGUAUGUCCCCUACUUAUUUCACAUUUUUGAGAGUUUAUUUAAUCCGGUUGAAGAACCAUUGUUUCAAAUUUGGCGGACUGGAUACGUCUGCAUUCGCUUGACAACUCACAGAACCAGCUUUGGCCCGCCCAGACAAACCUGGACCCCUAAAUGUACCUGAAACAUUUCGUUUCAAUCACUCUCCGUGCGCGCUAGCAUAGUAGGUGGCGCUAAUGCACCUUUCAGUUGGUUGCCACCCGCCAUUUAAAAGACAAAAGAAGAAGAAGUCACUCAGGUUGAAGAAGCGCCCACUUGCUGCUUCCCCAAACGUUGACGCAUGUCAGCUACCGAAAGGCAAGGAGGUCGCUUCUCAAACUGACGCCACUGCAGGCUGUGGACACGCUGCUACCUUGUAGAAGAGUUGUUGCUCACCUCAGGAGCAAAGAGUGGUGUCAAGGAAAACAGCUGCAUUCUCCAUCUGUACAGCAGCUGCACUGCUUCCGAUGUCUUCCGACACGUGAAGACAAAAAAUAUCCUCACAUCACCCCAGCCAACUGCCCAUGACUGUACCUGUUCCACUCCAGAAACUAUGCUUUUAACAUAACUAUGAAUCCUACUCGUUCAUUUUGUGGUCGGCAAAUUAAACUGUGGCGGUAACUUAUCCAGCAUUAUAGUGCUGGUGCAUUAGUUGAAAAUAAAGUUGGCUUUGACUAUU
Molecule: long non-coding RNA, 1458 nt
Organism: Betta splendens (Siamese fighting fish)
Lineage: Eukaryota; Metazoa; Chordata; Actinopteri; Anabantiformes; Osphronemidae
Exons: 3
Source: RefSeq, a predicted model, not a curated record